Long non-coding RNA from Megalobrama amblycephala (Wuchang bream), 517 nucleotides. RefSeq lists it as uncharacterized. Lineage: Eukaryota; Metazoa; Chordata; Actinopteri; Cypriniformes; Xenocyprididae. The record is from RefSeq and is a predicted model, not a curated record. The transcript has 3 exons.
AUCAUCAUUUGUGUUAUACUGAAGAAACAAAGUCACCUACAUCUUGGAUGCGCUGGGGAGUUUGAGAACCUGCAUUAGGCUGUGUCUUGCCAGGACAAGCAAAAAGAGCCUACCAGAAUGGAUUAAAGGUAAAAUCAUCAAUAAUCCAGUGAUGCUCAAUCAUGUGGAACAUGCUUUAGAAUAUACCUUGUCCUGCUCCACAAAGUCAACAAACGCUGUCCUCUCCACUUCCACGGGCUGCCCAUUGCGAUCAUACAGUGCCAGAACAAAAUGGAAGAAGUUGGACUUUCUGAGAUUGGAGGGAGGCUGCUUUUCGAAGUGAGCACGGGAUAAGGACACUCCACUGUGGAUGUAGGGUUUCAGAGAGUUAAAAAACAGCUUAUUUAUUCUUUUUUUUUUUCACAAUUCAUAUAACUGACCAUUUACUUAUAUAAUACCAUCUGCUAAAUUCAACAUAAGCUCAGUACAAUUCUUAAUGCAUGUCUCGGAUGAGAUCAAAAUAAAAAAAUACUUCCAC